Molecule: non-coding RNA, 84 nt
Filed under: Deinococcus sp.
Lineage: Bacteria; Thermotogati; Deinococcota; Deinococci; Deinococcales; Deinococcaceae
Description: c-di-GMP sequence
Rfam family: Cyclic di-GMP-II riboswitch aptamer
Source: RNAcentral
CAGCUGUUCCGGAGCUAUGAACCACCUGGCGCAAACGGGCGCUUGCCAGGUGUGGAGCGAGUGGCGCGACCGACAGAACGGAGG